This 343-nucleotide unclassified non-coding RNA is filed under the name soil metagenome. Its description in RNAcentral is "partial contains 5.8S ribosomal RNA, internal transcribed spacer 2, and large subunit ribosomal RNA". The stretch from base 1 to 120 matches the Rfam family "5.8S ribosomal RNA", at positions 35 to 154 of the family's 154-position model. The record is from RNAcentral.
GAUGAAGAACGCAGCGAAACGCGAUAAGUAAUGUGAAUUGCAGAAUCUAGUGAAUCAUCGAAUCUUUGAACGCACAUUGCGCCCGCCAGCAUUCUGGCGGGCAUGCCUGUUCGAGCGUCAUUUCAACCCUCGACCUCCCCUUGGGGAGGUCGGCGUUGGGGACCGGCAGCACACCGCCGGCCCUGAAAUGGAGUGGCGGCCCGUCCGCGGCGACCUCUGCGCAGUAAUACAGCUCGCACCGGGACCCCGACGCGGCCACGCCGUAAAACACCCAACUUCUGAACGUUGACCUCGAAUCAGGUAGGACUACCCGCUGAACUUAAGCAUAUCAAUAAGCGGAGGA